CGUUAGUCGGCAGUGUGAAAAAUCGCGCAGCGUGGGUUGUUUAUUUAGCUAGCUACCUAGCUUGACAAGUCAGACCUUAGUCAAAGGUGAAGAGCUGCGAAGAGUAGCAUUAGCUAGCUAGCUAGUACAAAUUGUGAUUCAUGAUUAUUUGGACGAUUUAAAUUAAAAUACCUCCUCGGAGUAGUGCCAGACCAGGUUUGAGGGAAAUACUGCUAGGGACCUGCAAGGUGUAUGGAUAAACGGAACACCAAAGUGUCAGACGGUGGAAAGGCGUGGCAGACCUGCGGUGUGCAUGACAAGAUGUGGGUGACCCCAUGAAAGGACGCUUUGGAUAAAGUCUGCUGAACAUAGCAGGCGAGGCCACACCCACCUUGCCCC
This is a long non-coding RNA of Megalops cyprinoides (Indo-Pacific tarpon), 378 nucleotides long. RefSeq lists it as uncharacterized. Lineage: Eukaryota; Metazoa; Chordata; Actinopteri; Elopiformes; Megalopidae. The record is from RefSeq and is a predicted model, not a curated record. The transcript has 3 exons.